Molecule: ribosomal RNA, 253 nt
Filed under: uncultured prokaryote
Description: partial 16S ribosomal RNA
Rfam family: Bacterial small subunit ribosomal RNA
Source: RNAcentral
ACGAAGGGGGCUAGCGUUGCUCGGAAUCACUGGGCGUAAAGGGUGCGUAGGCGGGUUUUUAAGUCAGGGGUGAAAUCCUGGAGCUCAACUCCAGAACUGCCUUUGAUACUGAAGAUCUUGAGUUCGGGAGAGGUGAGUGGAAUUCCCAGUGUAGCGGUGAAAUGCGUAGAUAUUGGGAGGAACACCAGUGGCGAAGGCGGCUCACUGGACCGGAACUGACGCUGAGGCGCGAAAGCGUGGGGAGCAAACAGGA